Non-coding RNA from Podarcis muralis (Common wall lizard), 210 nucleotides. NCBI's taxonomy places the organism in Eukaryota, Metazoa, Chordata, Lepidosauria, Squamata, Lacertidae. The record is from RefSeq and is a predicted model, not a curated record.
GCAAAAGGGCCCACAAGGGGCAGGCAGGCGGGCUCCUGCGAGCUAGAGGUGGGGUUUGGGGUUUUUUUUGACCACCGCGCCCCCUCCCUUCUGUAUACCGUGACGUCCCAUUUCACUGAACGCUGAGAUUCACCUCCCCGAGAUGGGAUCCUGGGCGCAAUUUCCCCAGGAAUACAAGUAUACAGUCAGCAUAAGAAAAUAACAGUAAUA